Populus euphratica (Euphrates poplar) is the source of this 1226-nucleotide long non-coding RNA. RefSeq lists it as uncharacterized. The transcript has 2 exons. The record is from RefSeq and is a predicted model, not a curated record. Lineage: Eukaryota; Viridiplantae; Streptophyta; Magnoliopsida; Malpighiales; Salicaceae.
GUGGGUUACAUCACCAUCAAAACACACGACCAAACACGAAAGAAAAACAAACAAACUCGUCAUUUUCAGUAAUGGAAGAAGCCUCGAGGCAAUCAUGGUGUCCACAAGGGCAAUCAAACAGAGCACUCGUAAUUCCCUCUUGAAAAACUGCAUGGUGUUCACAUAUGGAGAGUUUAUAUAGUUAUGGCCCUUGGGAUUGGCUUUGGUUCAAUGUUUCUACAAACACCUUGUCUUUCUGGUUCAGAUGGUGUUUUUUCUUAAAGGGUGUAGCCUGUAGGGAAUAGGAAUUAUUACUUCAGUCAUUUUGGGGUGGAAAAUGAUGGCUAAGGAGAUGCUGCAGUAGGGCACACCCUUUUGUUUUCCUCAUAUCAAGUCACUCACGGUUGAAUCCUUCUGCUAAUAUUUUUUUACAGCUUGUUGUCAGCAGCCACCCACCCACUUUGCCUUGUCCAAACCAUUGCUGAGAUAUCUCACAGCAGAACAUGUGCUUCUGUCAGGAUUUGACAUUGGUUGCCCUUGUAAUCGGAAAGGCUCAUAAUUCAUUGAAUCUCCAAACAAAAUCUUCUUGAUCUUAUUUGCUACGUUCAAUUACAUUAGUUGUUCUCGGCUUUCCAAAAGACAUGAAUGUUUACAUUUCUCUUGUUGGAUUUUUCCACAUAGAUGAAAGAUUUCUGAAAGUGGCUGGCACUUGUACCUUAUGAAAAAGGAGUAUUGAAUGCAUAUAAACACCUACUGCUUGAUAACGAGCAUGCAUGUAUUAGGAAAGUGAUCAUUCCAUUUCCAUUUCAAGUUUUUCAUCACAGGUAAUACGAACUGCUAUCUGUUGCUAAGCUAUUAGAAAGACAUUGGGCAUUGUCUGAGAAUCUUUGUAGAAGAGAAGAUGCAGAGCAUUUAUCUGAUAUCUACUCAGAAUGAAUUGGCAGAUUAACAGUCCUUUCUUUAAUUUAUUUGUAUUAUUUGAUUUAUAUCCAUCUUUAAAAAUUGCAGGAUUCUGUAUUUCUUUAAUGUACGAACAUGGAAGGAAAGGAAGCAAUGUCCUGCUAAUUAAUGCAGGCCGCAAGAGGUAGACAGGAGUUGAGGCCUGUGUCCUCUACUGAUGACAAACAACAGCGAUUGAUAUCUACUGUAUGAAAAUUUGUUUCCAAGUUGGGUCACUGCUGGAUCAAAGAUUUGCAGUUAAUGUAUCCAGCCACAUCUUUUGUCCCCAUUUGUGUUUUGCCUAGCAA